UCUCUGUGACUCGUUUCUUUUACUGUCUGCGUCUAUGUAUUCAACGAAUUCAGUGCAAUUCAACAGCAAAGAUUACAAUGAUGACUAUUAUUUUUUUGAGAAAACCUUCUUCGUGAGACGUCAUCAGAUUCAUAAAGGUCUC
Caenorhabditis elegans is the source of this 142-nucleotide non-coding RNA. Lineage: Eukaryota; Metazoa; Nematoda; Chromadorea; Rhabditida; Rhabditidae. The record is from Ensembl.